RNAcentral lists this long non-coding RNA (245 nucleotides) under Elaeis guineensis (African oil palm). RNAcentral describes it as "long non-coding RNA (EGUI_LNC007059)". The record is from RNAcentral. Lineage: Eukaryota; Viridiplantae; Streptophyta; Magnoliopsida; Arecales; Arecaceae.
AUGUCCUACUUCGGUGCUGAAGAAAAAAGACGAGCCAAGAGAGAGCUAGCCGGCCGAGUGCCCGGCAGUCUCCAAUGGCGAGCACCAUCGUUGAUCCGCAUGACAAGAUGAGGGGUAGAGACGCUGGGCGAGUGGAUCGAGUACCAUAGGCAAUUACUUUUUCCAUGCAUCAUAUAAGCUUGAUGAUUUUCUCAGGAAUUAACUGGGAAAUUCCACUGAUAGAAGAUUGUAUGUCCAAGUAUUUU